This 1729-nucleotide long non-coding RNA is filed under the name Heterocephalus glaber (naked mole-rat). RNAcentral's name for it is "lncRNA (ENSHGLG00100042552.1)". The record is from RNAcentral. Lineage: Eukaryota; Metazoa; Chordata; Mammalia; Rodentia; Bathyergidae.
GAGAAACUACCACACCCACAGGGUGCACUUCUCCGAAGGAUGAAUAGCAGUGAUUGAUACUCUAAAUAGGUAUCAAUCACCCGGGUGGGGGGCCAAGGUUUUAACCCACCCUUUCCAGGAAAGAGCCUUGACUUGCCCUUACUGAAAAUCUUUUUUUUUUUUUUUUGGUACCAGGGAUCGAACUUGGGACCUUGUGCUUUUGAGGCAGGUGGUGGAACCACUGAGCUAAAUCCCUGGCCUAAAAUUCAUUUUUUUUUCUUUUGUUUUUGGUAUCAGGGAUCAAACUUGGGUCCUUGCGCUUGCUCAGCAGGCAGCAAAACCACUGAGCUAAAUCUCUGGCCCCACUGAAAAAUCUUUGUAAGCUCCCUAUGUGACUUGCUUCCCCAUCGGAUCCCCAUUAGUCAAUAUUACCUAAGCCAGUAUACUUGUCACAAUCUUAUUGGUUGUUCAUAGUUUUGUCCAAUUUGUGAUUUAUCAUUGGAUUAGUAUUACCUAAACGGCUGUACUUGUAAUCUUAUUAGUUGACUAUAGUUUUGUCCCACCUUAAACCCGCCUCACCUCAUGGCUUUGUCCCAUAAAACACCUUUGAGAAGCAGAGUGAGUGAGUAACCCAUUUUCCAGUCCCCCUUCUGUCUCUCUUAGAAGCUGUCUUUUUCUCUCAAUAAGUUUUUCCUACUCUUAACUUCCAUUGUUCCUAGAAUUCAUCCUUUCAUUUUAGAGAACAGGAACUCAUGUUUUGGAUAUCUAGUAGGCUUGGGAGUUACAUCUAUUCCCCCUGUAUCAGCUUGAGAUGGUUUCUGAAGGACCCUAGUUAGCAAGACAGACUCCAUAUUGCUGCUUGACCCACCUGCCUGCCCUUUAGAUGAACUCAGAAGGAGGAAGCUAAAAACCUCCUCCCCUUAGAAAGUCUCUUUAGAAAUAACAAUCAACUAUUGUUUUACAAAUGUUCUAACGGCAGGACAUUCUGCUUCUGUACCUUUUGCUUACUUUACUAGUUCUAUCCCAUAGGGGGGGGCCUAGAAACUGCUGGCCUCAAAGGUGUAUAAAACAUGUUUGUCAACCCCCAGUCAGGGCUCCAGUCCAAUGGAUGCUCGGCUCGGGUCCUGGCCGGUAAUAAACUCCUGUGUGGAUUUAAUAUCGGUCUCUGGUUGGUUCUCUCUCACUGGGUGUAACAUUCUUGGAGGCCCCAGCGAGAUAGCCAACUGCUCUGGAGCUUAUUAUCUUGGAGCCAUUGUUUCUUUUUAGGAGAGACCAGGAUCGGACAUCGGAGGUGUUUGGCCCCUCUGGACACCGGUCUGCAGAAGGAGAGGCCACCCUGACGGUAUUCCGGGACUCCGGGGGGCCUAUCACCGAUCAACAGACCCGCAGGAGUUUAUUGGGAAAGACUCUAGAGCCAACCUGGGAUGAUUGCCAGCAGCUUUUACAGAUCCUAUUCACCACUGAGAAACGGGACGCAUUUAUCAACAGACAGUCAAAGAGGCCCUGGGGCCAAAACCCGGCAUCACUCCCGGAACUCCUCCGGGGCAUUCGGCCGAGGCUGAAACAGUUCCAUCACGACACCCCAAAUGGGACCCCAAUGAUGAUGACGGAAGUCCUAGCCAAGAAACUGGGAAAAGUCACUAUUGCUGCACUCCAGGCACAAGAGAUAGUCCCUCUGGACAAAAAAAGAAAAAGCCACCUUUUUGACUUUAAAGAAAACCUUAGUGUCAGCACCGGCCCUGACCCUACC